CGACGGGUGGUAGUAGUGAGGAAGAGUGGUCAAGGGGCGUAAGCCGGAACCAGUCAAGUCGAGUGAGGGACGACGGUCCUAGGGAUUGUAAACCUCUUUUGUCGGGGAGCAAGGCCCGCCACGUGUGGCGGGAAGGAGAGUACCCGAAGAAAAAGCAUCGGCUAACUCCGUGCCAGCAGCCGCGGUAAUACGGAGGAUGCGAGCGUUAUCCGGAUUUAUUGGGUUUAAAGGGUGCGUAGGCGGCCUUUUAAGUCAGCGGUGAAAGUCUGUGGCUCAACCAUAGAAUUGCCGUUGAAACUGGGAGGCUUGAGUAUGGUUGAGGCAGGCGGAAUGCGUGGUGUAGCGGUGAAAUGCUUAGAUAUCACGCAGAACCCCGAUUGCGAAGGCAGCCUGCCAAGCCAUGACUGACGCUGAUGCACGAAAGCGUGGGGAUCAAACAGGAUUAGAUACCCUGGUAGUC
This 460-nucleotide ribosomal RNA is filed under the name uncultured bacterium. RNAcentral describes it as "partial 16S ribosomal RNA". It matches the Rfam family "Bacterial small subunit ribosomal RNA", at positions 339 to 795 of the family's 1533-position model. The record is from RNAcentral.